CCUACGGGUGGCUGCAGUGAGGAAUAUUGGUCAAUGGACGUGAGUCUGAACCAGCCAAGUAGCGUGAGGGAUGACUGCCCUAUGGGUUGUAAACUUCUUUUAUAUGGGAAUAAAACGUUCCACGUGUGGUCUUUUGUAUGUACCUUAUGAAUAAGGAUCGGCUAACUCCGUGCCAGCAGCCGCGGUAAUACGGAGGAUCCGAGCGUUAUCCGGAUUUAUUGGGUUUAAAGGGAGCGUAGGUGGAUUGUUAAGUCAGUUGUGAAAGUUUGCGGCUCAACCGUAAAAUUGCAGUUGAAACUGGCAGUCUUGAGUACAGUAGAGGUAGGCGGAAUGCGUGGUGUAGCGGUGAAAUGCUUAGAUAUCACGAAGAACUCCGAUUGCGAAGGCAGUUCACUGGACUGCAACUGACGCUGAGGCACGAAAGUGUGGGUAUCAAACAGGAUUAGAUACCCUUGUAGUC
Molecule: ribosomal RNA, 460 nt
Filed under: uncultured bacterium
Lineage: Bacteria
Description: partial 16S ribosomal RNA
Rfam family: Bacterial small subunit ribosomal RNA
Source: RNAcentral